RNAcentral lists this ribosomal RNA (2297 nucleotides) under Fibrobacterota bacterium. RNAcentral describes it as "Fibrobacteres bacterium (bioreactor metagenome) partial 23S ribosomal RNA". It matches the Rfam family "Eukaryotic large subunit ribosomal RNA", at positions 107 to 2283 of the family's 3401-position model. The record is from RNAcentral. Lineage: Bacteria; Pseudomonadati; Fibrobacterota.
GCUCAAAUUUAAAAUCUCUGCCCUUUGGGUAGCGAAUUGUAGUUUAUGAAAUUAUAUUCGUUGGUAUAAUUAUGGUUAAAAUCUCCUGGAACGAGGUAUCAAAGAAGGUGAUAAUCCUGUUUGAAGCCAUUAAUUAUAUUAACAUAUGUUUAUAAUUUCGAGAGUCGGGUUGUUUGGGAAUGCAACCUUAAUUGGGUGAUAAAUCUCAUCUAAAGCUAAAUAUCCGCAAGAGACCGAUAGCAUACAAGUACCGUGAGGGAAAGGUGAAAAGAACUCUGAACAGAGAGUUAAAAGUACUUGAAAUUGUUAACAGGGAAACGUUUUAACCCUUGGAAUGAUCUUAGUUAAAUCAGCUGUUAGAUUCCAAAAGAUGAAAGCAGUGCACUUUGGCUGGACAAACCAACGUUUAUUUUUAUGGGAUGAAACAUACUUUAAUGCGGUAGUAUUUUAACCUUCGGGUUAGACUAUGAAGCUUGAGGUAAAUAAUCUCAUGAAGAUAUAUAAUAAUCCUUGCCACAUGGCUGUGAUGUAAGAUUUAUUUUAGAUUAUUUUGGAAGACUAAUAAUUAGUGUUCUUUGGUGAUUUGGGAUAGAAUUUUACUAGCAAAAAGGAUGAAGUUGGAUAAGAGUUAAAGCGACCCGUCUUGAAACACGGACCAAGGAGUGUAACAUAUGUGCGAGUCUAAGAGUUUUUAAACUCCAAGGCAAAGUGAAAGCAUGAUGGUUUGAUAGGGUAACCUUGCAAAAUCGUUCAACCUGGAUAGUAAUUGAAGGGAUUGAAAAAUAGCAUUUAUGUUACGACCCGAAAGAUGGUGAACUAUACUUGGGAAGGACGAAGUCAGAGGAAACUCUGAUGGAGGUUCGAAGGGGUUCUGACGUGCAAAUCGAUCUUCAUACCUGAGUAUAGGGGCGAAAGACUAAUCGAACCAUCUAGUAGCUGGUUCCCUCCGAAGUUUCCCCCAGGAUAGCUGGAACUCAUUUCUGAUUAGUUUUAUCAGGUAAAGCGAAUGAUUAGAAGUUUUGGGGAUGAAACAUCCUCGGCUUAUUCUCAAACUUUAAAUAGGUAAGAUUAUUCAUUUACUUUAGUGAAUUGAAUAAUUGAAUAAAGAGUUCUUAGUGGGCCAUUUUUGGUAAGCAGAACUGGCGAUGUGGGAUGAACCAGACGUUGAGAUAAAGUGCCAAAGAUUUCGCUCAUCAGACACCAUAAAAGGUGUUAAUUCAUAUCGACAGUAGGACGGUGGCCAUGGAAGUCGGAAUCCGCUAAGGAGUGUGUAACAACUCACCUACCGAAUGAAUUAGCCCUGAAAAUGGAUGGCGCUUAAGCGAUACACUUAUACUUAACCCAUAAAAAAUUUGUGCAGUUUUUAUGGAGUAGGAGGGCGUAAAGAUUGAUUAGAAGCUUUAUUGUGAGAUAUAGUGAAUCUUUCUUUAGUGCAGAUCUUGGUGGUAGUAGCAAAUAUUCAAUAGAGAACAUUGAAGACUGAAGUGGAGAAGGGUUUCAUGGCAAUAUCAAUUAGCCAUGAGUUAGUCGAUCCUGAACGGAGGGUUAAUUCCUUAAAACACUAAGUAAUUAGUGAUUCCGUGAAAGGGAAGUAGGUUAAUAUUCCUACACCGGGUUAAGGGGAUUUAAUGAGGUAACUCAAAUGAUCUCAGAGACGCCAUUGUGAAAGUCAAGAAGAGUUCUCUUCUCUGUUUUACAAACUGUUGUACAGUUUACUGUGCAAUGUUAAAAUCCUUGGAAUUGAAUCAUUCAGAGAUAAGGAUUAAAGUUUGGUAGAGUAAAUCAUUUUUUGAUUUAUUUGGCUUUUUCACAAUGGUUCAUAAAAAUCUGAGGGAAAAAAUAUCCAUCUUAUCCGUUCGUACUCAUCACCGCAGCAGGUCUCCAAGGUUAGAAGCCUCUAGUUGACAGAAUAACGUUGGUAAGGGAAGUCGGCAAAUUAAAUUUGUAACUUAGGGAUAAAAAUUGGCUCUAAAGGCUGGGUAUCAGGGUCAUAUGUUGGAAUCUCUUAGGAAUCUUAUUUACGAUAAUCUAGCUUCGGUGGGGUUAUUGUGGAUGGGUGGAAUAAGGGUGGAUGGUGUAUGAUAAAUCUCGGUUUAUUUCUUGAUACAAUUAACAGCUAAUUUAGAACUGUUACUGAGUAGGGGAAUCCGACUGUUUAAUUAAAACAAAGCAUUGUGAUAGGCUUAAUUUGCUAUUAACACAAUGUGAUUUCUGCCCAGUGCUCUGAAUGUCAAAGUGAAGAAAUUCAAACAAGCGCGGGUAAACGGCGGGAGUAACUAUGACUCUCUUAAGGUAGC